UACGAAGGGUGCAAGCGUUACUCGGAAUUACUGGGCGUAAAGGGUGCGUAGGUGGUGAUGUAAGUCUGGUGUGAAAUCUCGGAGCUCAACUCCGAAAUUGCACCGGAUACUGCGUGACUCGAGGAGUGUAGAGGAGAUCGGAAUUCACGGUGUAGCAGUGAAAUGCGUAGAUAUCGUGAGGAAGACCAGUUGCGAAGGCGGAUCUCUGGGCAGUUCCUGACACUGAGGCACGAAGGCCAGGGGAGCAAACGGG
RNAcentral lists this ribosomal RNA (253 nucleotides) under uncultured bacterium. RNAcentral describes it as "partial 16S ribosomal RNA". It matches the Rfam family "Bacterial small subunit ribosomal RNA", at positions 524 to 776 of the family's 1533-position model. The record is from RNAcentral.